This 253-nucleotide ribosomal RNA is filed under the name uncultured bacterium. RNAcentral's name for it is "partial 16S ribosomal RNA". It matches the Rfam family "Bacterial small subunit ribosomal RNA", at positions 524 to 776 of the family's 1533-position model. The record is from RNAcentral.
UACGGGGGGGGCAAGCGUUGUUCGGAAUUACUGGGCGUAAAGGGCUCGUAGGCGGCCAACUAAGUCAGACGUGAAAUCCCUCGGCUUAACCGGGGAACUGCGUCUGAUACUGGAUGGCUUGAGUUCGGGAGAGGGAUGUGGAAUUCCAGGUGUAGCGGCGAAAUGCGUAGAUAUCUGGAGGAACACCGGUGGCGAAGGCGGCAUCCUGGACCGACACUGACGCUGAUGAGCGAAAGCGUGGGGAGCGAACAGG